ACUCCUACGGGAGGCAGCAGUGGGAAUAUUGGACAAUGGGGGAAACCCUGAUCCAGCCAUGCCGCGUGUGUGAAGAAGGCCUUCGGGUUGUAAAGCACUUUCAGUGGGGAGGAAAGGUUGAUGGUUAAUACCUAUCAGCUGUGACGUUACCCACAGAAGAAGCACCGGCUAACUCCGUGCCAGCAGCCGCGGUAAUACGUAGGGUGCAAGCGUUGUCCGGAAUUAUUGGGCGUAAAGAGCUCGUAGGCGGUUUGUCGCGUCUGCUGUGAAAUCCCGAGGCUCAACCUCGGGCUUGCAGUGGGUACGGGCAGACUAGAGUGCGGUAGGGGAGAUUGGAAUUCCUGGUGUAGCGGUGGAAUGCGCAGAUAUCAGGAGGAACACCGAUGGCGAAGGCAGAUCUCUGGGCCGUAACUGACGCUGAGGAGCGAAAGCGUGGGGAGCGAACAGGAUUAGAUACCCUGUAGGCUCUG
This 470-nucleotide ribosomal RNA is filed under the name uncultured bacterium. RNAcentral's name for it is "bacterial SSU rRNA". It matches the Rfam family "Bacterial small subunit ribosomal RNA", at positions 335 to 798 of the family's 1533-position model. The record is from RNAcentral.